UGGACUAUCAGUGUUUGAAAUAAAAGUUCAUAAUAAAUAUACUGCUGAUGUACACUUCCAUUUAAUGGACAGGACCUACAUGUAGUGUGUACUAAUUACAUUCCUUACUGUAUAAAUUAACCUUCACAUACACAUGUAAAGGACACCUCUGUAUAACAUGAUAAACUCAUGAUAUUGCUCAAAAUAAGGACAUUGUACUCAACGAUUUGUCCAAAGUGGAACCAGCAGCCAAAGAGGCUCAGCAAGCUGUGAAGGGAAUUAAGAAAUCCCACCUGGUUGAAGUGAGGGCUCUAAACAACCCCAUCAGUUCAUCAAGAUGGCACUGGAAAGCAUCUGCAUGCUAAUCGGAGAACCUUACACUGACUGGAAGAGUAUCAGACAGAUUAUAAUGAAGGAGAACUUUAUAUCACGCUAGUAAGGCUGUGGGCCUUUGGUGAAGUGGGCCAUUGCUCA
Long non-coding RNA from Amphimedon queenslandica, 453 nucleotides. RefSeq lists it as uncharacterized. NCBI's taxonomy places the organism in Eukaryota, Metazoa, Porifera, Demospongiae, Haplosclerida, Niphatidae. The record is from RefSeq and is a predicted model, not a curated record. The transcript has 3 exons.